RNAcentral lists this long non-coding RNA (7050 nucleotides) under Homo sapiens (human). RNAcentral's name for it is "non-protein coding lnc-DCAKD-1:1". The record is from RNAcentral. Lineage: Eukaryota; Metazoa; Chordata; Mammalia; Primates; Hominidae.
AGCAUGUGGCACUAGCCACAUUCCAGGUGCCCUGAAGCCACAUGUGGCAGGAGCUACCGCACCGGGCCAGCAGAGAUCUGGAAUGAGAAGCCCACAGGAUAGGAGCUUCUGCCCCGACCCCUGCCCCCUCCCUGUGAUAGUGAGGAGGGACCUCUGGAGGCAGAAGGUGAAGUGAGCCCCUGAGAAAUACAGGGCAGAGCCCCCCUUUUGCUGGGGGUGGGAGCAACUUUCUGGCCUCUGAGGCAUUACAGUGCCCCAGCAGGGGCUCUCUGGGGGAGGCAGACUAAUGACCACUUCGCCAGGAUAGGGGCCGGGCUGGGGCAGACACUGAGCUCUCCUUUCCAGAGUCUCCUGGCAACUAGAGCAGCUGGUUUGGAGGGAAGAGCCUGACAGCUGGGCUUGGGUACUUCUCAUUCCCAGUCAGUGCCUAGUCUUCUGGCUGUAGCAUCUAAGGUAAGGCCCCUCUUGGAACUGCACCAUCACUCAAAUGGGAAUAGCUGUGAUCAACCCUGCUUUAAAGGCUGUAAAAAGGUUUCUUAUACAAAGACAGUAUGCUUGUAAGCCAUGAACGUGCGCGAGGAAAAGAGAAAGUGAGGAGGGAGGGAGGGAGCCCCUUUUGAGGCCGCCCCUCCCUUGGUUGGCUAUUGCUGGCUGUACUCCCAGAGUCUGCAGGGGCCCUCCAACUUCAGUGGGAGGCUGGAGAAAGAGGGUAGGAUGGGCGGCCCAGAAAGGGUGUGAUUUUCUGAGAGCCACACAGCACAUCCAGCAGUGGGUGAGCUGGACACGCUGGGGUGGGGCCAGGAUACCCAGGACCUCCUUCUCAGCUGCUCUAGGCGCGAGGGUUUGUGGGAAGGAGUGGACAGGGCUAUUUCAGGGCAAUGCAAAGGCAGCCGAGUGCUGGCUGGGAGGCCCUCGUGGGUCUAGUCUGACAUUUUCUGCUGAUGCUGGGAGCCAGGGAAGGGGACCUGGAAACCUGAAUCUCACACCUGGGCCAGCUGAUCUUGUGCCCAAGUGGUCCCAGCCCCUACUUCCCACUGGUCUUCCCUGUCCUAGCUGCACAAUUGCCCUGCCUGGGGAGGAGUGUGGAGAGAAGCACCAGGCUACCCCAGGACCAAGCCCCCAGCCCACCUGCCAGGUCCCGAGAGCCACAGUGAGCCCUCAGUUAUAUCUUUGUUUUUGUUUUUGUUUUUGAGUUUCACUCUUUCCAGGCUGGAGUGAAGUGGCGCAAUCUUGGCUCACUGCAACCUCCGCCCCCAGAAUUCAACGAUUCUCCUGCCUCAGCCUCCGGAGAAGCUGGAUUAUAGUCAAACCACCAUACCCGCUAAUUUUUGUAUUUUUAGUAGAGACGGGGUUUUGCCAUGUUGGCCAGGCUGGUCUUGAACUCCUGACCUCAGGUGAUCAACCUGCCUCAGCCUCCCAAAGUGCUAGGAUUACACUUUGAGGUGCCCAGCCCCUCAGUUAUUUCUUUUGCAGACUGCAACUAAGGGAUAGAUCUGGGAUUUAACUUUAUUUAUUUAUUUAUUUAUUUAUUUAUUUAUUUAUUUAUUUUUAGACAGGAUCUCCCUCAGUCACCCAGGCUGGAGUGCAGUGGCACAAACAUGGCUCAUGGCAGCCUCAACAUCCUGGGCUCAAGAGAUCCUUCCACCUCAGCCUCCCAAGUAGCUGGGACCCUAGGCACGCAACACCACAUCUAGCUAAUUUUUUGUAUUUUUGGUAGAGACCAGAUUUUGCCACGUUACCCAGGCUGGUCUCAAACUCCUGGGCUCAAAUGAUCUGCCUGCAUCAGCCUCCCAAAGUGCUGGGAUUAUAGGUGUGAGCCACCUGGCCCAGCCUCUUCUUUUACUUAUUUAUGUAUUUAUUUUUACACAGGGUCUUGCUCUGUCACCCAGGAUGGAGUACAGUGGCAUGGUCAUAGCUCACUGCAGUCUACAACUGCUGGACUCAAGUGAUCCUCCCUCCUCAGCCUUGCAAGUAACUAGGACUACAGGUGCAUGCACCUGUAGUGCAUUAGCACAGCGAGCUAAUUUUUUUUCUUUUUUUGUGCAGAUGGGGCUUCUCAAUGUUGCCCAGGCUGACCUUGGACUCCUGGCCUCAAGUAAUUCUCCCACCUCUGCCUCCCAAAGUGUUGUGAUGACAGGUGUGAGCCACUGCACUUGGCCUUUCUUUUUUUUUGAAACGGAGUUUUGCUCUUGUUGCCCAGGCUAGAGUGCAAUGGCACAAUCUCGGCUCACUGCAACCUCCCCCCUCCCAGGUUCAAGCGAUCCUCCUGCCUCAGCCUCCUGAGUAGCUGGGAUUACAGGCAUGCACCACCAUGCUUGCCUACUUUUGUAUUUUUUAGUAGAGACAGGGUUUCUCCAUGUUGGUCAGGCUGGUCUCGAACUCCCAACCUCAAGUGAUCCGCCCGCCUUGGCCUCCCAAAAUGCUGGGAUUACAGGCAUGAGCCACCGCGCCCGGCCUUUCUUUCUUUCUUCUUCUUCUUCUUCUUUUUUUUUUUUUUUUUUUUUGAGAUAGAGUCUUACUCUGUUGCCCAGGCCAGAGUGCAGUGGCAUAAUCUUGGCUCACCACAACCUCCACCUCCCAGGUUCAAGCGAUUCUCCUGCCUCGGCCUCCCGGGUAGCUGGGACUACAGGCAUGUGCCACCAUGCCCAGCUAAUUUUUGUAUUUUUAGUAGAGACAGGGUUUCGCUAUGUUGGCCAGGCUGGUCUUGAACUCCUGACCUCGUGAUCUGCCUGCCUCAGCCUCCCAAAGUGCUGGGAUGACAGGUGUGAGUCACCACACCUGCCAUUUCUUUCUUCUUGUUUCAGGUUUCUUCCUUCUUGGUUCCAUCCUACAAAGAACUGUUUCCAUAGACAUCCUCUCUGUACAGCUACUUUCAGCCUAUUCUUCCCAGUUAGAGACUUACAGUGAUUCCUAGUGUCUACCAAAUUCCCUUUCAAACUCCUUGGUUUGGGAUUCCAAGAGCCCUUCACCAUCAAGCUCUUUCCACCUGACACAAACAGUAACCUUGUUUCCGGCCCAACUUGCUGUGCCAACUGGCCCUGCCUAAGGCUGUCCAGCCUCUCUGCCUUUGCCUGGGCCGCUUCUCCUCCUGCAACAUCCUUCUUCCUCUCCACACCCAAUUCUGCUGAUUGAAAUCCAUCCAUUCUGAAAGACCUGGCUCAAAUGCCACCUCUUCUGGGAGGAAUCCUUACCAGGUAGCCUCAUCAGAAAUGCUUGCCCUCCUCUGAUCCAUCUCCCGUAGCCCCUUGCAUGUCCCAGGCCCUGGAUCUUUCUCUCUCACAGCCUCAGACUCCCGGUAAGCCUCUGGAAAUGGAAGCCCCUGGAGGGCAGAGCUAUCCCAGCUGUCCAUGAGUCCUCUCGGAACCCAUUUCCCACCAUUGCACUUCCUGCCCUGCUCGCUCCCCACCCCAAGGUAACACCAAGGUCGGAUGUGAGAAAAAAAUAGAUGAAACAAGAUUUUGCACAUCACAUUGUAAAACCCGCUCAGGCGCUCCCCUCCUCCCAAUAUUCUUACUGGACUCCCGCCUACCCUUGGCUCUGGUCCCUCUGGCUCCUCCCCAUCCACCCAGUCCAGAUGUCCAAGCCUGAGCAGCUCACCUGGAGAGACACCGUGUCUCUGUCUCCAUCUCUUAGUCUGGGUCUCUGUCUGUGCUGCCAGUAGACCUCUGGCCUCCCCCAUCAGACUGGGAUCACUGGGAAUGUGAGGACCUACCUUUUUUUGUCUUUGUCUCCUUUUCCCAUCCCAUUCAGUGGAGGAUUUCAAAAAGCUUUGGAGACACACUUAACAAGAUAAAAAAUGAGAGAGGAAGCUGGAGGUGGGAGAGGUCCUGCUUCCUCCUCCCCCAGCCUCGGUCUCUGGCACCUUGCCAAGGUCACCUUUCAGAGCAACCUAUCACGGGCCUUUGUCAGGAUCAUUCAUCCUCCUUUCCAGCGCCCUCCGCCCUUGCCAACCCACCAGACUCUGUUGCCACUCCAGGCCCUGCCGCCACUCCAGGCCCUGCCAGCCCCAGCUCGCCUUACCAGUCCCUCACGCUCCAACUCUCUCCCUCUCCCCCCCAUCUGCAACCACAGCACAUCACAGCUGUCUGAUUAGCUCAAUUGAUUAAUUAAGCUCUAAUGAGAGCCGUGACUCACCCCUACAGCUGCUGACCAGGAGGCCAGCCGUGCCCAGAAGGCCACUGAGGCUGCAGACAUGGUCUUAUGAGGGCCCAGGGGCAGGCAGCUCAGUGGUUGGUACCACUGAGCCAUUUGCAGGGCACAAAGCUUGCCCAUGGCUAGGUCUCUCCAAAAGCCUCCAUGGUGAGGGGUGGGCAGAGGGGUUGCUCCCUCAACCAAUCAGUGAGUUCCAGGAUCUGGCACCAACUCUGCUGAAGUCAGGGAGGGCAGAGCAGACAUUGAUUGGCUGAGAGGUGCAGGGAGGGGAGUAGAUCCCUUCAGAGUCCCACCUUGACUCCUGGGGCUUAGCAUGCCCCAGGCCCAGAGGAUAGUGAGCGUGGGGAAGCUGGGCACUGGCCAGAGGAACCAGACUUAGCCCUGCCAGCAGCCACCAACCCUGUGGUUUCUUUGCUCUGUCGCCCAGGCUGGAGUGCAAUGCUGCGAUCUUGGCUUACUGCAACCUCCAUCUCCCAGGUUCAGUCGAUCCUCCUGCCUCAGCCUCCCGAGUAGCUGGGAUUACAGGCACGCGCCACCAUGCCCAGCUGGUUUUUAUUUUUAGUAGAGAUGGGGUUUCACCAUGUUGGCCAGGCUGGUCUCGAACUCAUGACCUCAGGUGAUCCACCUGCCUCAGCCUCCCAAAGUGCUAGGAUUACAGGUGUGAACCACCGCACCCGGCCAAACCCUAUGGUUUCUUCCAUCCCCACAACUCCCAGCCAUGUGGUGAGAAAACGCCCCCAUCCAGCUGCUGGCUUCCAGUCUCGAAUAGCCACAAGGACUCUGCAGAGCAAGUCCUCGAUUCCCAUUCCUCCCACCUCCGGCCUCCCUCACCACCCCGACCACUGACCCACCCCGCCCCCAGACUCUGUCCCUUGUCUAGGAUAGGGGACAAAUGCCCUCCAUUAGCAACAAUCAUUGGCUGGGCACAAUGGGUCACUCCUGUAAUUCCAGCACUUAAUCACGCCUUAAUCCUCAACCUUGGGAGGCUGAGGUGGGAGGAUCACUUGAGGCCAGUAGUUUGAGACCAGCCCAGGCAACAUAGCAAGACCCCUGUCUCUACACAAAAUUUUAAGAAAGAAAAUUAGCCAGGUAAGGUUGCUCACGUUUGUAAUCCCAGCUACUGGGGAAGCUGAGGCAGGAGGAUUGCUUGAGCCCAGGAGUUCGAGGCUGCAGUGAGCUGUGAUUACACCACUGCACUCCAGCCUUGACAAGGGUAGAAUCUUGUCUCAAAAAAAACAAAAAACGAUCAUCAGUUAAGUGGGAUUUUCCAUCUUACAGACACCUCCAUGUUCGUUCUUCCCCAGAAUCUCACGAGGCAAACUGAGCCAGGAGUUCAUUCUAGAGAUGAGGAAACUGAGACCUCAACUUGCCCAAGAUCACACCCGGGCGUUUCCUGCUUCCCAGCCUUUGCAUUUGUCUUGAGUCACGCACUUCUCUUCAGCUUUGAGACGUCAGCUUAGAGGUCACUUCAGCCAGGAUGCCCCGUCCCCCAGCUGCAGGUGAGGGCCCCCUCUUGUUGUGUUAACUUGCUCACCUCUGCCACGGGCCUGUGAGCACAGCUGCCGCUCUGUCUAUACCUCCCGAUUGCGGGAGGAUCCUGCUCAGGGCCUCACAGGCAGUAGGGACAUAAAGAAUAUUUAGAGUGGAGGAAAGAAAGGGAGGAGGGAAGAAAUGAAUGAGCCACACAUGGCAGAUAGUCUGAGCCCCCAGUCAAAUGCUGAGAGGGAGGACAUGGUGGAGGACCAAGCAGGGCUGCCCAGUCUGGUCAUGUCAGCUGUUGAUGUGCAGGGAGCCCCUGCUGCACAGCCCGCUGGCCCAGAGAUCAUGCAGGUAGUCACUUCCCCUCCCUGCUGCAGAGAGGUUAGGGUGGGACCAGGAAAUCCUGGGAGAUGGUGGAGGAAGAUGGGCAGAGCAGGAGAGAGUGGGGAGGGCCUGGGAGUCAGGAAACCUGAAGUGGAGAUUAAAGCAGUGGCUGGGUCAGGCACAGUGGCUCACAUCUGUGAUCCCAGCACUUUGGGAGGCUGAGGCAGGUGGAUCACCUGAGAUCAGGAGUUUGAGACAAGCCUGGUCAACAUGGUGGAAACCCGUCUCUACUAAAAAUACAAAAAUUAGCUGGGUGUGGUGGCAUGCGCCUGUAAUUCCAACUACUUGGGAGGCUGAGGCAGGAGAAUCACUUGAACCCGGGAAGCAGAGGUUGCAGUGAGCUGAGAUCGUGCCACUGCACUCCAGCCUGGGCGACAGAGCAAAAUUCUGUCAAAAAAAAAAACAAAAAAAACAGUGGCUGGAGAGUCCGAGACCUGGGUUGGAGUCCUGGCUUUGCUUGACCUCUCUGGGUGACUGUGGGCAUGUGGCCUCCCCAGUCUGGCCUGUGAACCGAGAAAGUCUGAUGGCAUGGGCUCUGGGCCUGUUCUCCUGUUGAAGUCUGGGAGUUCUGUAGCCCCAAGAGACAUCUGUUACUAGAGGGAGGGAGUGAAAUGGAGAUGGACAGUAGGAGGGGGUUGCAACACCUAUUACCAAUGGUGGGAGGGGUAAUCACAGCCGGGAGCCUCUGGGCCCCACAAGGAGUCUCCACCACUCCCCCCAGCUCCUCUUCUGUCGCUGCCCCUCAGAUUCAAUUACCAGCUCAGCUUUCAAAUCGGGCUCCAGCCAGUAACUUUACUGGAGAAAAUUAUUAUGUGAUUAUUUCAACCUUGCUCCAAACGCUGUUUUAAUUGGAUCUGGGAAAAGGCGAUUUGGGCAUCAGAGGAGCCACGCGGGGGCGGGAGCAGCAUAGGAAUGUCAGGCAGGGGAGCCCCACCUGCCCAUGAGGUUCGAAAGGCAGACAGGACUGCUUCCCAGCCCCCUACCUCUCCCCAGGCCCCCCACGUUCAUCGUAGAUGGAGGGUAAGCCUCAGCCGG